This is a long non-coding RNA of Lynx canadensis (Canada lynx), 727 nucleotides long. RefSeq lists it as uncharacterized. The record is from RefSeq and is a predicted model, not a curated record. The transcript is spliced from 3 exons. NCBI's taxonomy places the organism in Eukaryota, Metazoa, Chordata, Mammalia, Carnivora, Felidae.
CAGAGUCAGUGUGUCACAGCCAACUGCCGCGGCAGGUCAGGGUCUCACGGAGCAGGAAUGGCGAAGGCGGAGACACAGACAGACAGACGGGCAGGAACGUUCCGGGGAAAGCUUUUCGCUUCUGCUAGUUAUGUCGAAUAAACCAAAACAAGAACUCAUUUUGGUUCAAUGUGCAGGCUAAAACGCAUUACGGCAAACACCGGCGAGUACAACACGCAUGCUCUCCCCUCGUCCCGGAAUUUCGUUGGCAAUCACCGCUGCCGUCCCGGCCGCCCACCGUGUUGAGCACUUUCACGCAUGGGCUCCCAUAAUCCCACAAGAGAAGCUCUGAUAGAGGUACGGUCAUUACCCCACUUUAAAGAAGAGGAAACGGAGGCACAGAGAGAGGUCACAGGUCCUGCCCUGGAUCUCCCAGCCAGGAAACGGCUCAGAGCCGGGUCAGUGUGGAGCACGACCCAACCCGAUGAUGCCACCCAGCUGGAAGCCGACCUUCCCCGCCUGGGACUUGGAGCAACAGGCUCCUAGAGAAGCCUCCUAAGCAAACACCUGCCCCCCCACACACACACCCCGUUUUGAUUUCUGAGAAAGAAUCUCCUUCUGUCUUCGGUGAGGUGCGCUGGGAAGUGGCGGCUGGGGCAGGGAAAGGUUCUUGGGGGUCCUCGGCGUGGAGCGCUCAGCCAGGGCUCACGCAGGGAGGAUCCAGGACCCCACCCCGAGGCCCGCCGAC